GUAGGACGCAAGCGUUAUCCGGAGUUACUGGGCGUAAAGCGCGGGAAGGCGGUCUCUUAAGUCUGAGGUGAAAGCGCCCGGCUCAACCGGGCGAGGCCCUUGGAAACUAGGGGACUGGAGGGCAGCAGAGGUGGGCGGAAUUCCGGGUGGAGUGGUGAAAUGCGUAGAGAUCCGGAGGAACACCAGAGGCGAAGGCGGCCCACUGGGCUGCGCCUGACGCUGCACCGCGAAAGCCAGGGGAGCGAACGGGAUUAGAAACCCCGGUAGUCCUGGCCGUAAACGAUGUUCACUGGGUGGCGGGGGGUUCCCCUUCGCUGCCGAAGCCAACGCGAUAAGUGAACCGCCUGGGGAGUACGGUCGCAAGGCUAAA
Molecule: ribosomal RNA, 370 nt
Filed under: uncultured bacterium
Lineage: Bacteria
Description: bacterial SSU rRNA
Rfam family: Bacterial small subunit ribosomal RNA
Source: RNAcentral